GUGGAUUAGAUACCCCGGUAGUCCGCACAGUAAACGAUGAUAACUAGUUGUUUGCGAUAUACAGUAAGCGACCAAGCGAAAGCGAUAAGUUAUCCACCUGGGGAGUACGCCGGCAACGGUGAAACUCAAAGGAAUUGACGGGGGCCCGCACAAGCGGAGGAGCAUGUGGUUUAAUUCGAUGAUACGCGAGGAACCUUACCAGGGCUUGAAAGUUAAGGAAUGAUUAUGAAAGUAGUCAGUCAGCAAUGACCUAAAACUAGGUGCUGCACGGCCGUCGACAGCU
RNAcentral lists this ribosomal RNA (283 nucleotides) under uncultured bacterium. Its description in RNAcentral is "partial 16S ribosomal RNA". It matches the Rfam family "Bacterial small subunit ribosomal RNA", at positions 773 to 1060 of the family's 1533-position model. The record is from RNAcentral.